Molecule: ribosomal RNA, 330 nt
Filed under: uncultured bacterium
Lineage: Bacteria
Description: bacterial SSU rRNA
Rfam family: Bacterial small subunit ribosomal RNA
Source: RNAcentral
GCGCGUAGGCGGUUUGUCGAGUUAGGCGUGAAAGGCCUGGGCUUAACCCAGGAAUGGCGCUUGAUACUGACGAUCUGGAGAUCGGGAGGGGAGAGUGGAAUUCCCAGUGUAGAGGUGAAAUUCGUAGAUAUUGGGAAGAACACCGGUGGCGAAGGCGGCUCUCUGGCCCGCAUCUGACGCUAAGGCGCGAAAGCGUGGGGAGCAAACAGGAUUAGAUACCCUGGUAGUCCACGCUGUAAACGAUGUGCACUAGGCGUGGGCCCGUACGGGUUCUGUGCCGUAGUUAACGUGGUAAGUGCACCGCCUGGGGAGUAUGCUCGCAAGGGUGAA